AAGUAACGAUAAAGCGGGUGAAAAGCCCGCUCGCCGGAAGACCAAGGGUUCCUGUCCAACGUUAAUCGGGGCAGGGUGAGUCGACCCCUAAGGCGAGGCCGAAAGGCGUAGUCGAUGGGAAACGGGUUAAUAUUCCCGUACUUGGUGUUACUGCGAAGGGGGGACGGAGAAGGCUAUGUUGGCCGGGCGACGGUUGUCCCGGUUUAAGCGUGUAGGUGUGUGUUCCAGGUAAAUCCGGUUCACUUUAACACUGAGGCGUGAUGACGAGGCACUACGGUGCUGAAGUAACAAAUGCCCUGCUUCCAGGAAAAGCCUCUAAGCAUCAGGUAACAUCAAAUCGUACCCCAAACCGACACAGGUGGUCAGGUAGAGAAUACCAAGGCGCUUGAGAGAACUCGGGUGAAGGAACUAGGCAAAAUGGUGCCGUAACUUCGGGAGAAGGCACGCUGACACGUAGGUGAAGUGAUUUACUCACGGAGCUGAAGUCAGUCGAAGAUACCAGCUGGCUGCAACUGUUUAUUAAAAACACAGCACUGUGCAAACACGAAAGUGGACGUAUACGGUGUGACGCCUGCCCGGUGCCGGAAGGUUAAUUGAUGGGGUCAGCGCAAGCGAAGCUCCUGAUCGAAGCCCCGGUAAACGGCGGCCGUAACUAUAACGGUCCUAAGGUAGCGAAAUUCCUUGUCGGGUAAGUUCCGACCUGCACGAAUGGCGUAAUGAUGGCCAGGCUGUCUCCACCCGAGACUCAGUGAAAUUGAACUCGCUGUGAAGAUGCAGUGUACCCGCGGCAAGACGGAAAGACCCCGUGAACCUUUACUAUAGCUUGACACUGAACAUUGAGCCUUGAUGUGUAGGAUAGGUGGGAGGCUUUGAAGUGUGGACGCCAGUCUGCAUGGAGCCGACCUUGAAAUACCACCCUUUAAUGUUUGAUGUUCUAACGUGGACCCGUUACCCGGGUUGCGGACAGUGUCUGGUGGGUAGUUUGACUGGGGCGGUCUCCUCCUAAAGAGUAACGGAGGAGCACGAAGGUUGGCUAAUCCUGGUCGGACAUCAGGAGGUUAGUGCAAUGGCAUAAGCCAGCUUGACUGCGAGCGUGACGGCGCGAGCAGGUGCGAAAGCAGGUCAUAGUGAUCCGGUGGUUCUGAAUGGAAGGGCCAUCGCUCAACGGAUAAAAGGUACUCCGGGGAUAACAGGCUGAUACCGCCCAAGAGUUCAUAUCGACGGCGGUGUUUGGCACCUCGAUGUCGGCUCAUCACAUCCUGGGGCUGAAGUAGGUCCCAAGGGUAUGGCUGUUCGCCAUUUAAAGUGGUACGCGAGCUGGGUUUAGAACGUCGUGAGACAGUUCGGUCCCUAUCUGCCGUGGGCGCUGGAGAACUGAGGGGGGCUGCUCCUAGUACGAGAGGACCGGAGUGGACGCAUCACUGGUGUUCGGGUUGUCAUGCCAAUGGCACUGCCCGGUAGCUAAAUGCGGAAGAGAUAAGUGCUGAAAGCAUCUAAGCACGAAACUUGCCCCGAGAUGAGUUCUCCCUGAGACUUUAGGUCUCCUGAAGGAACGUUGAAGACGACGACGUUGAUAGGCCGGGUGUGUAAGCGCAGCGAUGCGUUGAGCUAACCGGUACUAAUGAACCGUGAGGCUUAACCUUACAACGCCG
This 1652-nucleotide ribosomal RNA is filed under the name Salmonella enterica. Its description in RNAcentral is "partial 23S ribosomal RNA". It matches the Rfam family "Bacterial large subunit ribosomal RNA", at positions 1304 to 2925 of the family's 2925-position model. The record is from RNAcentral. Lineage: Bacteria; Pseudomonadati; Pseudomonadota; Gammaproteobacteria; Enterobacterales; Enterobacteriaceae.